GGGCGGGUAGCGUAGUGGUCAGCGCAUUCCCUGAGCGUUUUCAUGUUUCCUAAGCGGAUUCUAGCGUUGAUUUCCAAUUAUAUGUUACAAGCGUUCAUUGAAAGACCUGGGUUCAAAUCCCAGCCCGUCCA
Molecule: non-coding RNA, 131 nt
Organism: Echria macrotheca
Lineage: Eukaryota; Fungi; Ascomycota; Sordariomycetes; Sordariales; Schizotheciaceae
Source: the annotation of a GenBank genome assembly